RNAcentral lists this small nuclear RNA (300 nucleotides) under Carlito syrichta (Philippine tarsier). RNAcentral describes it as "7SK RNA (ENSTSYG00000033892.1)". It matches the Rfam family "7SK RNA". Rfam says of the family: 7SK was discovered as an abundant small nuclear RNA in the mid-70s but a possible function has only recently been suggested. Two independent studies have found that 7SK RNA binds the CDK9/cyclin T complex (known as elongation factor P-TEFb). Lineage: Eukaryota; Metazoa; Chordata; Mammalia; Primates; Tarsiidae. The record is from RNAcentral.
UGAUGCGAAGGGAAUCUGGCUGCAACUCUUGUCACCCCACUGAUCUCCAGGGUUGAUUCAGCUGAUCCCACUGGCUAGGUGCGUGUUCCCUUCCUCCCAACUCCUGGUGCAUCUCUCCUGAAGCUGCACACUGGUGGAAGAGGUCGAUCUUCCCAGACAGAGGAGGACUAUUCUCAUCAAGGGUGGAGUAGUAGCUGUGCUCCACUGCUAAACCCUCCAAACACAUCAUAUUCUUAUGUGUCAAAAAAAGGUUCAAAGAAAAGCACAACUCAGAAGUUUCAUGAUUUAUCAAAAUUUAAA